AAUGAAGUGCCUGAAAAAAGGAUUAUUUUGAUAGAAUAAAAAAUAUAAAUUAAUAAUAAACAUUUAUCUUCAUUA
This 75-nucleotide transfer RNA is filed under the name Sinopoppia nigroflagella. Its description in RNAcentral is "tRNA-Ile". The record is from RNAcentral. Lineage: Eukaryota; Metazoa; Arthropoda; Insecta; Hymenoptera; Tenthredinidae.